CCUCUUCUCCUUUUCACGUGUUUAGGAGAUAACCCUUGCAAGCACUCACACUCUUCUUACAGAAUUCUAAACUUUAAGUGAAGGAGGGAAUUUCUAAAGAGAUUGCAGCAGUAUUUUCUCUACUUUUAAACUCUCUAUGCUUGUCUGCUUUAACCAGGGAUGAGAGGGGUAUUUAUAGGCUUCAAGUUGAUUCAAACUUAGAGCCUAAAACUUUCCCGUCCCGGGUAUCCCGGGCACGGGCAGUACCAUCGCCUACGCUGGGCGGUUCCACUGCCCAGUGUUAGUCUGACACUGACACUACCCUGGGCGGUAUCACCGCCCAAGUCUGGCAGUACCACCACUUCGAGUGUAGUGCUGGGCGGU
This 363-nucleotide long non-coding RNA is filed under the name Musa acuminata (dwarf banana). RNAcentral describes it as "long non-coding RNA (MACU_LNC010056)". Lineage: Eukaryota; Viridiplantae; Streptophyta; Magnoliopsida; Zingiberales; Musaceae. The record is from RNAcentral.